CUGAUUACUAGUGCACGCUCUGAAAAGGCAGAGAGACACCACCUUUAUCUCCUCCAGAAUGACUGGGAAGGGAGUCAAAUCACACUUAAUGACAUACAUAACUGCAACUUUCCGAGACUAUACAACUUAAAAGCCACCCUACCCUCCCAUACGGAAAUAAGAGACUUCCUCACACGACAGAUCAAAUCCAGAAUACUGGCGAAUGUUCAGCGCUCCUUGGAUCUUCCUAUAAUGAGCUAUGAAUAUUAUGCUGUAAUAAAAUAAUUACCCCUCGAGAAAAGUCCAGGCCUGGACGGUCUCACUGCAAAAUACUAUAAAACAUUCUCCUCCUC
This is a non-coding RNA of Pelobates cultripes (western spadefoot toad), 332 nucleotides long. Lineage: Eukaryota; Metazoa; Chordata; Amphibia; Anura; Pelobatidae. The record is from the annotation of a GenBank genome assembly.